CACAAGCGGUGGAGUAUGUGGUUUAAUUCGAUGCAACGCGAAGAACCUUACCUGGUCUUGACAUCCCGGAGACCCUUAGGAAACUAGGGGUGCUUCCAUCUGGAAGAAUCUGGAGACAGGUGCUGCAUGGCUGUCGUCAGCUCGUGUCGUGAGAUGUUGGGUUAAGUCCCGCAACGAGCGCAACCCUUGCCUUUAGUUGCCAGCAGUUCGGCUGGGCACUCUAAAGGGACUGCCGGUGUUAAACCGGAGGAAGGUGGGGAUGACGUCAAGUCCUCAUGGCCUUUAUGACCAGGGCUACACACGUACUACAAUGGCCGAUACAAAGGGCAGUGACACUGCGAGGUGAAGCCAAUCCCGUAAAAUCGGUCUCAGUCCGGAUUGGAGUCUGCAACUCGACUCCAUGAAGUUGGAAUCGCUAGUAAUCGUGGAUCAGCAUGCCACGGUGAAUACGUUCCCGGGCCUU
RNAcentral lists this ribosomal RNA (463 nucleotides) under uncultured Desulfobulbus sp. RNAcentral's name for it is "bacterial SSU rRNA". It matches the Rfam family "Bacterial small subunit ribosomal RNA", at positions 924 to 1382 of the family's 1533-position model. Lineage: Bacteria; Pseudomonadati; Thermodesulfobacteriota; Desulfobulbia; Desulfobulbales; Desulfobulbaceae. The record is from RNAcentral.